AUCCAGCUGAAGAGUCUUAAAUAGGACGAAAUGCAUGUCGUGGAU
This 45-nucleotide non-coding RNA is filed under the name Schistosoma bovis. The record is from RNAcentral. RNAcentral also lists the same sequence under 1 other name. Lineage: Eukaryota; Metazoa; Platyhelminthes; Trematoda; Strigeidida; Schistosomatidae.